CUAGCUGGAUUGUUAUUACAGUGAUUCUCAAACAUAACAAACCCAAGUUCCAGGAGAGUUUGGACUGGGAGUCAGGACACCGCAGAGGAAACUUUCCA
This is a long non-coding RNA of Salarias fasciatus (jewelled blenny), 98 nucleotides long. RefSeq lists it as uncharacterized. The record is from RefSeq and is a predicted model, not a curated record. NCBI's taxonomy places the organism in Eukaryota, Metazoa, Chordata, Actinopteri, Blenniiformes, Blenniidae. The transcript has 3 exons.